CCUACGGGUGGCAGCAGUGAGGAAUAUUGGUCAAUGGGCGCGAGCCUGAACCAGCCAAGUAGCGUGAAGGAUGACUGCCCUACGGGUUGUAAACUUCUUUUAUAAAGGAAUAAAGUGAGGCACGUGUGCCUUUUUGUAUGUACUUUAUGAAUAAGGAUCGGCUAACUCCGUGCCAGCAGCCGCGGUAAUACGGAGGAUCCAAGCGUUAUCCGGAUUUAUUGGGUUUAAAGGGUGCGUAGAUGGGUUGUUAAGUCAGUUGUGAAAGUUUGCGGCUCAACCGUGAAAUUGCAAUUGAUACUGGCAGCCUUGAGAGCAGUUGAGGUAGGCGGAAUUCGUGGUGUAGCGGUGAAAUGCUUAGAUAUCACGAAGAACUCCGAUUGCGAAGGCAGCUUACUAAACUGCCACUGACAUUGAUGCACGAAAGUGUGGGUAGCAAACAGGAUUAGAUACCCCGGUAGUC
RNAcentral lists this ribosomal RNA (460 nucleotides) under uncultured bacterium. Its description in RNAcentral is "partial 16S ribosomal RNA". It matches the Rfam family "Bacterial small subunit ribosomal RNA", at positions 338 to 795 of the family's 1533-position model. The record is from RNAcentral.